GACAUUUUGAAGGUUUUGUUGAUUGGAAGAAGUUUUUCUAAAAUCCCAUCCAUUGAUCUCAAAGACUUAAAGAAAAUUCAAUUAGGACCUUGGAGACACAGAAGGUGACCCCAUCCCUGAUUUUUGCUGUCUGUUACAAAAAUCGGCUUUUUCCAGUUUGGCUACAACACUGGUGCCAUCAAUGCUCUGGAGACUAUCAUAAAAAACUUUCUCAACUGCACUUCGGAAGAAAAGUUAGAAGACCUUCCCAGUACAAUGUUGCUCACAACCCUCUGUCCUUGUCUGUGGCCAUCUUCUCUGUUAGUAGUAGGAUGGCCUCCUUUUUGGUGGACUCUUUGUCUACUGUUUUGACAGGUGCAAUUUUCAGUGCUUAUGGUCAUCCUGUUGACCAUUGCUAGUGGCUGCCUCAUGGGGUUCUGCAAGAUUGUUAUGUCAGUUGAGAUGUUAAUCCCUGUGUCGCUUGGUUAUUGGCAUUUUCUGCAGACUCUCCACAGGUUUACUGCCCAUGUACAUUGGAACAGUAUUUUCCCCUGAUCUGCAGGGUGCCUUUGGCACUCUCAACCAGCUGGGGAUCAUCAUUGGGAUUCUAGUGGCUCAAAUCCUUGGUCUGGAAGUCAUCCUGGGAUCUGAAGAACUCUGGUCUGUGCUGUUGGGCUUAAAACUCAUUCC
Molecule: long non-coding RNA, 669 nt
Filed under: Marmota monax (woodchuck)
Lineage: Eukaryota; Metazoa; Chordata; Mammalia; Rodentia; Sciuridae
Source: RNAcentral